AACUAACGCUGGCGGCGUGCCUAACACAUGCAAGUCGUACGAGAAAGCCGGCUUCGGCUGGUGAGUAAAGUGGCGCACGGGUGAGUAACGCGUGGAUAAUCUGCCCUUAAGUGUGGAAUAACGUACCGAAAGGUGCGCUAAUACCGCAUAAUGCCUGGCAACACAAGUUGUCCGGCCAAAGAAGGCCUCUGUUUACAAGCUUUCGCUUCAGGAUGAGUCCGCGUACCAUUAGCUUGUUGGUGGGGUAAUGGCCUACCAAGGCUGCGAUGGUUAGCUGGUCUGAGAGGAUGAUCAGCCACACUGGAACUGAGACACGGUCCAGACCCCUACGGGAGGCAGCAGUGAGGAAUAUUGCGCAAUGGGGGCAACCCUGACGCAGCAACGCCGCGUGAGUGAGGAAGGUUUUCGGACUGUAAAGCUCUGUCGAGCGGGAAGAAGUGUACCAUGGCUAAUAUCCAUGAUAUUUGACGGUACCGCUAGAGG
RNAcentral lists this ribosomal RNA (483 nucleotides) under uncultured bacterium. Its description in RNAcentral is "bacterial SSU rRNA". It matches the Rfam family "Bacterial small subunit ribosomal RNA", at positions 29 to 487 of the family's 1533-position model. The record is from RNAcentral.